Molecule: non-coding RNA, 1316 nt
Organism: Ictidomys tridecemlineatus (thirteen-lined ground squirrel)
Lineage: Eukaryota; Metazoa; Chordata; Mammalia; Rodentia; Sciuridae
Source: RefSeq, a predicted model, not a curated record
CACGGUGACAGUACCGAGAGCAGCCUCAAAUGUCAGCUGUAUUUCAGAGGCAGGGCUGACAGGGUCUGCUGACCAACUGAGAGGAGCAGAGAGGGACAGCUCAGGACGUGGCCCUGCAAGAACAGCAUUGCUGUUAACUGGGGGCCAUGGAGGAGUAACUGGCUUGGGGAGAACACUGGGAGCUCUGUGCUGGACAUGGUAAGCUUGACAUGCUUAGCAGAGGACCAAAUGGACAUGGCAGAUACACAGUUCAGGAGUUCAGCCUGGAAAUAGUCAUUGGAGUCAUCAGAAUACACGUGGCAUUAAAACAGAGACGGGUGAGGCCCAGAGGUGAUAAGAGUGACAGAGGUCCAAGGAGGGACCUGGAGAAGUUCCACAAACUGGGAGAAGACGGAGGAGGAUAGCAAGGAAGUGGAGCAGUCAGUGCAGAGGGUUCGAGAAGGUCUGGAGGAGGUGUGGAGACAGCCAGUGUAGACAGAGAAGGUCUGGGAGGAGGUGUGGAGACAGCCAGUGUAGACAGAGAAGGUCUGGGAGGAGGUGUGGAGACAGCCAGUGUAGACAGCUUCUUAAAGAGAAGAGUCCUAGACUGCAGUGGCCUCCCACGGGUCUCCGCAGAGGUUGAAGAGAAGGAGGAUCGCGGCUGAAGGUGGAAGUGGGUCGGGAGAGGUCGGGACAGGGUGCUUGGCUUACUCUGUUCCUCAGGUGGGAGCACUGGUCAAGGGUGUGUGCUGGUGGGAAGGAGCCACUGGGGAAUCUGACAAUUAGGAUAAUGCCCAGUGCGUUGACCGUGUCCACUGCUGUCCUCCUAACAGUUGGAACCCGCAAAGGCACGUCUCUCAGAAACUGCUUCUCUGUGCUCCCAACCUUACGACUUCCCCCAGGUCUCCUCAGAGUCCCGCGUCAGGGGAUGAGGGCACUGGCUUUGAGAUAAUUUAAUAAACCCAGCUUCCUGCAGAGCAGCCCCUGCCACCGACUGGAGUCCCCGCUGCCUGUUCCCUAUCAGGCCUGUGGUUUCCUGCCCGGCUGCAGCUUCACUUCAUGAUCAAGCGCCCUCGACCCUCCUUCCUGUGGCUUCAGCCCCUGCUGGAGCCCGGUGCUGAAGGCUGCUGGCAGGCCCUGCCCUUCCCCCGCCCUGGGCCCGCCUCCCCUCUGCCUGCCACUGUGGAGGUAGCUGAAGCCCCCUGGUUGUCCCCGGAGGCUCUCCAGCUCCCUCCCGCGCCAGGGGCCUGCGCUGGGCCGGAGCCGGUUUCAGGUCUUCAGGGUGUGUGUCAUCCACCCUCCUGCAUUUGAUUUUCUUGUUAAUAGUUAAGCAUCUU